Molecule: ribosomal RNA, 468 nt
Filed under: uncultured bacterium
Lineage: Bacteria
Description: partial 16S ribosomal RNA
Rfam family: Bacterial small subunit ribosomal RNA
Source: RNAcentral
GACGAACGCUGGCGGCGUGCUUAACACAUGCAAGUCGAACGGAAAGGCCCUGCUUUUGUUGGUUGCUCGAGUGGCUAACGGGUGAGUAACACUUGAGUAACCUGCCCUUGACUUUGUUAUAUCUUCAGGUAACUGGGUCUAAUACCUUAUAGGAUCUCCUUCUUCAUGUUGUGUGUUGGAAAGUUUCGGCGGUUGGGGAUGGACUCGCUGCUUAUCAGCUUGUUGGUGGUGUAGUGGCUUACCAAGGCUUUGACGGGUAGCAGGCAUGAGAGGGUGACCGGAGAGAUGGGGACUGAGAUACGGCCCAGACUGAUACGGGAGGAAGCAGUGGGGAAUAUUGCAAAAUGGGCGGAAGCCUGAUGCAGCAACGCGGCGUGCGGGAUGACGGCCUUCGGGUUGUAAACAGAUUUCGCAUGUGACGAAGAGUGAGUGACGGUAAUGGGUAAAGAAGCACCGGCUAACUACGUG